This 68-nucleotide transfer RNA is filed under the name Herdmania momus (red throated ascidian). Its description in RNAcentral is "transfer RNA-Ser (GCU)". Lineage: Eukaryota; Metazoa; Chordata; Ascidiacea; Stolidobranchia; Pyuridae. The record is from RNAcentral.
UAAAGAUUACGGGGUGCCUUUUAGUUGCUACCUAUGGGGUCUUGGGUUCAAUUCCCAAGAAUCUUUGG